Molecule: long non-coding RNA, 1014 nt
Organism: Mustela putorius furo (domestic ferret)
Lineage: Eukaryota; Metazoa; Chordata; Mammalia; Carnivora; Mustelidae
Source: Ensembl
AGAAGGAGAAACAGAAUUUGAUAGCAACUGGCCAUGUAGCCAGUUCCCAGGGCUUAUCUUGACACCUGGGUGGUAUGGAGUUUUCCAUUUGCACCGAUCGUAUCCUCUCUGAGGAUAAGGCUGACUGUGGGCAAAGGCUAGGGUGAGUAAUCCUCCACGACUCCUGAUUCACAUCUAGUUGUGGUAGCUUUCGGGCCCUUGUGAAUUGGAAGAGAAUUUAAAAGUCAGUGAACAGAUCUUGUGGAGCCCUCAUGUGCCAGGAUAUGAGACGGGGUCCAAUAAGGCCUGAUCCAAGGAAGUUGUGAUGAUGAAGGAAACUCCCCUGAGGAGGAGAUCAUUCAUCUGGCGUCGGGAGAGUGUAUUGGCAAGAGCCCCGUAGAAGCAACUUGCCCAUGUGGUGACUCAAGGAGAAGAGCGUCAUGUGUUCAAGGAUCUCAGAAAAGCUUACCACAGCGGAAAAGAAGACAGUCAUGAUAGAGGAGCAACAGACACAUUGUUUAUGUAUGAAAGGAACAGCUAAGACACAAAGAAAGAGAAGAUCUCCUAUGUUACAAGAAAGAAAAAGGAUCAUUUUCAUGAUACAGAACCUUUCAGAAUAUAUCAAGAAUUCCAGCGGAGCACACAGUUGACCAAUUUUUCUCAGGACUACUAAUAAAUCAAGAAACUGCCAAGACCACAGUGGCUGGAAGAAGACACAGGUCCACUGGUCAUUCACUGAAGACUGUAGUUCCUGUGAAGCGGGGGUGCUCUAUCGGUGAAAUCCAUGGGCUUCGAUCUUACAGAUCCUGAAUUCAAUCCCUCAUUAUAUUCCUUUCCAGCUUUGUGAACUUGGGUGUGGUAUUAACCUUUCAAAAUUUCUGUUUUAUCUGUAAAUGGAAAGAAUUAGAGUACCUGCCUGUUUUGUCUCCCAGAUGGAGGGCUCUUGGCUUACUCUGAGACACCGGUACUUUGAUUCAUUGUGAUAGCUUUGUGGUGGAAAUUGCUGGUAGAGGAAGAAAUCAAUAAAAAGUUUUC